AUGCAUCUCAUACACAAGCACAAUAUUGAGUUGCAUCCAUUGCAUUAACCAUAAUUAUCAAAUGUCAAAUUUAGAACAAAAUAGUAACUGAGAUAGGUCACAUUUUGCACAAGAUAAAUUGUCCACUAAGACAAAUUUGUCCAUAAGAUAAAGUGUUUCAAAUAUCUAACAUAACUUCAUUUUGGCAUGACUUGAAGAUCAUUAGGCUUCUAUAGCCAAUCAUCAUCACCAUCGCCAUAGUCAUUAUAUCCCUCAUCUCGAUAGUCUUUAUAUUCCGCAUCGCGUAGUUAUCAUACUGCUCAUCACCAUACAGACCACCCUCGCCAUAGUUAUCAUAUCCCUCAUUGCCGUAGUAGUCAUCCUCAUCAUCAUUCCCAUGACUGAUACUGCCUCCAGUCCUGCUUCCAAUUCCCUAUGUAAUCACAAGACUAGUUGUCAGUAUAAUGUAGCUAAAAUUUAAGUGACCUACAGGGACUAAACUUAAUAUUUCUAAUUGACAGUUUAGCUGCUAGCUGCUGUUUAACAGUAUGACUAUCUAACAAUAUGCUUGCCUAUUCACCUUUUGAUCCUUCACAUGAAAUUUUCAAAGGAAACAUGAAUCAGCAGGAACACAUAUUACAUACACAUUGUCCAAGUACAGUGCAUAUCUAUCUGCAACCCUACUAUCAGCAGUGUUUACAUUUGCAGUCACAUGACACAGCCGAACAAGUAAACUAACAUAACACUAUUGGCUAGUUUGGGCAUAUAGUAAACUAAUUAAGGAUGACAUGUACAAAAAUAGGUUACUAUAAAUUUCCAUUCAAAUAGUUUUAAUGGCAAAAGCUCACUUACAAUUUACGCCAACAAUAUUUUAGAUUACACUGCACAUACAGCACCUAGCAUUGAGCUAAUUGGAAUCCUGAAACUAACAAUUUAGAGUGAUCAUGAGUGUGUAUGGCUGAGCUUUAAGAGAUAGCAAGCGUCAGUUUAGCUCCCAGUAAUAACUUUCUAAAGUACAUUUGUAGAGAUGUGUAUACUAGCAGCAUUUGUCCCAAGGUGAAAUAAUCCUUGCACGUAUAUGUAUUAUAAUUGAAAUGCAUAUGUACAGAGGCUUCACCGAACAUGGUUCAACAAUGCUUAGCUAAAAAGGAAGAGUAUUCGUAAGAAAAAUAUUCCGGAUGGUUAGCCUAAAGUCUUUAAUGUCUACUGUUCUUUCCCUGCGACCUGAAUAAAUUAUAUAUGAAGUACAAAUAAACUAUUGAAUACUAUUAUAUGUUUGCCUAUUGAUGAUUUUCGAAUUAACAUGGUUCAGUUUAUCUAGUUUUGCACAUAAGAAAUGAUAGAAAAUUUAGAUAUGCGAG
This 1340-nucleotide long non-coding RNA is filed under the name Triticum aestivum (bread wheat). RNAcentral describes it as "long non-coding RNA (TAES_LNC023185)". The record is from RNAcentral. Lineage: Eukaryota; Viridiplantae; Streptophyta; Magnoliopsida; Poales; Poaceae.